CCUAGAUAAUAAAUAUUGUCAGCAAAUUUGUUCAAUUUGGUUCUUAUUUAUUUAUUUAUUAAAUUCCAGAAUCUUAGCCUAGAAUUUUGUUUAUAGCACAAAAUUUUAUUUUGGCCAACGGAUUUAUAAUUUUUCUCUGUGUAUUAACAUCUGCAUCAAUUACGCACCUUUGAUUGGUCUUGGCAUUAGGAAGAAAUGGUUGGGGGAGGCAGGAGAGACGAGGGAUCGCUGGUGAUUAACAACAAUAAUGUGUUUGCGGCCCUUGAAACUCUGAGGAAGAAGAAGAAGUCUGAUAAGGAGAGGGGGACAUCAAAGAGCGCCAAAGGGUCUUCCAAACCUCAGCUACCAAAACAGCAGCACAAAGAACCUGAGCCUGAAGUUUUCUGGGCCCC
This 392-nucleotide unclassified non-coding RNA is filed under the name Hevea brasiliensis (rubber tree). Lineage: Eukaryota; Viridiplantae; Streptophyta; Magnoliopsida; Malpighiales; Euphorbiaceae. The record is from RNAcentral.